UGCUCGGUAGCUCAGCGGUAGAGCGAUCGGCUGUUAACCGAUUGGUCGCUGGUUCGAUCCCAGCCCGAGCAGCCA
This 75-nucleotide transfer RNA is filed under the name Verrucomicrobia bacterium ADurb.Bin474. RNAcentral describes it as "tRNA-Asn". It matches the Rfam family "tRNA". From Rfam's summary of the family: Transfer RNA (tRNA) molecules are approximately 80 nucleotides in length. Their secondary structure includes four short double-helical elements and three loops (D, anti-codon, and T loops). Lineage: Bacteria; Pseudomonadati; Verrucomicrobiota. The record is from RNAcentral.